ACGGGUGAGUAACGCGUGGGAACCUUCCCAGUGGUACGGAAUAGCUCGGGGAAACUUGAGGUAAUACCGUAUACGCCCCUAGGGGGAAAGAUUUAUCGCCAUUGGAUGGGCCCGCGUCGGAUUAGCUAGUUGGUGAGGUAACGGCUCACCAAGGCGACGAUCCGUAGCUGGUUUGAGAGAAUGACCAGCCACACUGGGACUGAGACACGGCCCAGACUCCUACGGGAGGCAGCAGUGGGGAAUCUUGGACAAUGGGCGCAAGCCUGAUCCAGCCAUGCCGCGUGAGUGACGAAGGCCUUAGGGUUGUAAAGCUCUUUUGGCGGGGACGAUAAUGACGGUACCCGCAGAAUAAGUCCCGGCUAACUUCGUGCCAGCAGCCGCGGUAAUACGAAGGGGACUAGCGUUGUUCGGAAUUACUGGGCGUAAAGCGCACGUAGGCGGAUUUGUAAGUCAGGGGUGAAAUCCCGGGGCUCAACCUCGGAACUGCCUUUGAUACUGCAAGUCUCGAGUCCGAUAGAGGUGGGUGGAAUUCCUAGUGUAGAGGUGAAAUUCGUAGA
RNAcentral lists this ribosomal RNA (557 nucleotides) under uncultured Hyphomicrobium sp. RNAcentral describes it as "bacterial SSU rRNA". It matches the Rfam family "Bacterial small subunit ribosomal RNA", at positions 102 to 694 of the family's 1533-position model. Lineage: Bacteria; Pseudomonadati; Pseudomonadota; Alphaproteobacteria; Hyphomicrobiales; Hyphomicrobiaceae. The record is from RNAcentral.